UUCCGAGCCAAGGUACUCAGUACGUGAAACCGCUUCGAGGCAAACGGGUGGGCCCUCGAAAGUCGAACGGCGGGGGGAUUCAGUCGGGAGGCAUGAGUGUGGGCGCUUCGCUGCCCGUGGUGGACCCUAGCGGGCCCCGGCGUGCGAUGGACGUCUCGUCUCCCGACGCACUUUCCCCUGCCCAGUAGUACGCUGCGACCGGUUGGGUUGCAUACAAGUGUCGGCCGUGAGGGUCGGACGCCGAAGGUGGCUGGUGGUGUGCUCUCCCGAGCCCUGCCAGUGUUACAUCUGACCGGCCCGGGCACGUCACCUGACCGAGGCACCAUGUGGCCCUGUGUGGGCCAGUCUGCACCCUCCAUGUCGGGAGCGGAUCUCCUGCCAGGGGUUCGACGUUCGGUUGUUCCGCGUGCUAGCGGGCGGCCGGGCUCGGGCAAUGGUGGGCGGGAAGAGUCCGUGCGGGUGCAGGAGGUCGGCAGCGAGUAGGUCGUCAUCCGCUACCCU
Molecule: ribosomal RNA, 501 nt
Filed under: Hottentotta tamulus tamulus
Lineage: Eukaryota; Metazoa; Arthropoda; Arachnida; Scorpiones; Buthidae
Description: Mesobuthus tamulus tamulus partial 28S ribosomal RNA
Source: RNAcentral